This 538-nucleotide long non-coding RNA is filed under the name Ananas comosus (pineapple). RNAcentral's name for it is "long non-coding RNA (ACOM_LNC021886)". The record is from RNAcentral. Lineage: Eukaryota; Viridiplantae; Streptophyta; Magnoliopsida; Poales; Bromeliaceae.
CCUUUUGGUUUACAAUUAGCUUCUUAACUUUUAUUAUUCAUUUUAAUUAAAUUAGUAUCAAUGAUUUAAAAACCAGAUUGAACCGAUUGAUUUGACUGAUCAGACUUUAAACUAUUCUAUCAAAUAUCUGAUUUCAAUCUAUUAAACUGAAUAAGAUUAAGAACAAUCUGGAACCGUUAAAGAUAAUAAACAUUUUUAACAGAAUGACAUUUUAACAGUUAGAGCUAAUAAAUAUUUUUAACAUAAUUUUAAAUAUAAAAAUUGAAAAUAUUAGGAUUACUAUUCAGAAAAAAGGUUAGGAAUUUGAAUUCGAACCCGACUAACAAUCGCAAAAUCUAUUUCCUAACUUGACGGAUUUCAAAAAUCCAUAUCUAAACCCGAAACUGACCAAUUUUUCGAAACCCAAAACCGAACCCAAACCCAAAGACCGGAACCCGAAACAAUUAUUUUUUUUUAUCAUAUUUCAAAAUAUUUUAUAUUAAAUUUAAAAUUUUAAAAUAUAAAUUUGAAUAUAAUAUUAAACUUUAUAUAUGAUUCG